GUCUUGGUAGCUCAGUUGGUAGAGCGGCGGGCUGGUAUCCCGGAGUUGUGAGUUCAAGUCUCGGCCGAGACA
Cydia fagiglandana is the source of this 72-nucleotide non-coding RNA. NCBI's taxonomy places the organism in Eukaryota, Metazoa, Arthropoda, Insecta, Lepidoptera, Tortricidae. The record is from the annotation of a RefSeq genome assembly.